CAGUAGCCGCGGUAAUGCGUAGGUGGCAAGCGUUGUCCGGAAUUAUUGGGCGUAAAGGGCUCGCAGGCGGUUUCUUAAGUCUGAUGUGAAAGCCCCCGGCUCAACCGGGGAGGGUCAUUGGAAACUGGGAGACUUGAGUGCAGAAGAGGAGAGUGGAAUUCCACGUGUAGCGGUGAAAUGCGUAGAGAUGUGGAGGAACACCAGUGGCGAAGGCGACUCUCUGGUCUGUAACUGACGCUGAGGAGCGAAAGCGUGGGGAGCGAACAGGAUUAGAUACCCCCGUAGUCCCUGUCUCUUAUAA
Molecule: ribosomal RNA, 301 nt
Filed under: uncultured bacterium
Lineage: Bacteria
Description: partial 16S ribosomal RNA
Rfam family: Bacterial small subunit ribosomal RNA
Source: RNAcentral